GACGAACGCUGGCGGCGUGCUUAACACAUGCAAGUCGAACGGAAAGGCCCUGCUUUUGUGGGGUGCUCGAGUGGCGAACGGGUGAGUAACACGUGAGUAACCUGCCCUUGACUUUGGGAUAACUUCAGGAAACUGGGGCUAAUACCGGAUAGGAGCUCCUGCUGCAUGGUGGGGGUUGGAAAGUUUCGGCGGUUGGGGAUGGACUCGCGGCUUAUCAGCUUGUUGGUGGGGUAGGGGCUUACCAAGGCUUUGACGGGUAGCCGGCCUGAGAGGGUGACCGGCCACAUUGGGACUGAGAGACGGCCCAGACUCCUACGGGAGGCAGCAGUGGGGAAUAUUGCACAAUGGGCGGAAGCCUGAUGCAGCAACGCCGCGUGCGGGAUGACGGCCUACGGGUUGUAAACCGCUUUCGCCUGUGACGAAGAGUGAGUGACGGUAAUGGGUAAAGAAGCACCGGCUAACUACGUG
RNAcentral lists this ribosomal RNA (468 nucleotides) under uncultured bacterium. RNAcentral describes it as "partial 16S ribosomal RNA". It matches the Rfam family "Bacterial small subunit ribosomal RNA", at positions 28 to 507 of the family's 1533-position model. The record is from RNAcentral.